AGAGUUUGAUCCUGGCUCAGGAUGAACGUUGGCGGUGUGCCUAAUACAUGCAAGUCGAACGGUGACCUAUUUGUAGCAAUACGAAUUUGUCAUAGUGGCGAACGGGUGAGUAACGCGUUGGUGAUCUGCCUCGAAGUGUGGAAUAACGUUCCGAAAGGAACGCUAAUACCGCAUGUGCUCUCAGUUUUUAGAAUGUUGAGAGUAAAGGAUUUAUUCGCUUCGAGAGGAGCCUGCGUCCCAUCAGCUAGUUGGUAGGGUAAUAGCCUACCAAGGCAAUGACGGGUAGGGGACCUGAGAGGGUGGCCCCCCACAAUGGAACUGAAACACGGUCCAUACACCUACGGGUGGCAGCAGUAGGGAAUAUUAGAAAUGGACGAAAGUCUGAUCUAGCGACACCGCGUGUGCGAAGAAGGCCUUCGGGUUGUAAANNCGGCUAACUACGUGCCAGCAGCCGCGGUAACACGUAGGAGGCAAACGUUAUCCGGAUUUACUGGGCGUAAAGCGCGUGUAGGUGGUUCUGUAAGUAGGGCGUGAAAGCUCCCGGCUCAACUGGGAGAGGCCGUUCUAAACUGCAGAGCUAGAGGAUGGUAGAGGGAGGUGGAAUUCCAGGUGUAGCGGUGGAAUGCGCAGAUAUCUGGAGGAACACCAGUGGCGAAGGCGGCCUCCUGGACCAUUCCUGACACUCAGACGCGAAAGCUAGGGUAGCAAACGGGAUUAGAGACCCCGGUAGUCCUAGCCCUAAACGAUGUAGACUAGACGUCGGCGGUGUAAUAGCUGUCGGUGUCCAAGCUAACGCGAUAAGUCUACCGCCUGGGGACUACGACCGCAAGGUUAAAACUCAAAGGAAUUGACGGGUCCCCGCACAAGCAGCGGAGCGUGUGGUUUAAUUCGUUGCUACACGAAGAACCUUACCUGGGUUUGACAUAGCAGUGGUAGGGAAGAGAAAUCGGACCGACCCUUCGGGGAGCUGUUACAGGUGUUGCAUGGCUGUCGUCAGCUCGUGNNAAGUCCGCUAACGAGCGCAACCCGCGUUGUGUGUUACAAGUGUCACACAAUACCGCCGGUAUUAAGUCGGAGGAAGGUGCGGAUGACGUCAAGUCAGCAUGACCUUUAUAUCCAGGGCUACACACACGCUACAAUGGGCAGUACAACAGGUUGCCAAGCCGCGAGGCGGAGCCAAUCCUCCAAAGCUGCCCUCAGUUCAGAUUGCAGGCUGCAACUCGCCUGCAUGAAGUUGGAGUUGCUAGUAACCGCAGGUCAGCUAUACUGCGGUGAAUACGUUCCCGGGGAUUGUACACACCGCCCGUCAAGUCAUGGAAGCUGGCAACACCUGAAGCCGGUAUCCUAACCCGUAAGGGAGGGAGCUGUCAAAGGUGGGGUUGGUGACUGGGACUAAGUCGUAACAAGGUAGGUGUACCGGAAGGUGCGCCUG
This 1432-nucleotide ribosomal RNA is filed under the name Anaerolineaceae bacterium UBA4841. Its description in RNAcentral is "bacterial SSU rRNA". It matches the Rfam family "Bacterial small subunit ribosomal RNA". The record is from RNAcentral. Lineage: Bacteria; Bacillati; Chloroflexota; Anaerolineae; Anaerolineales; Anaerolineaceae.